AUAUUUCUGCUGAUAAAAAUACCGCAUGUGCUUCACAUGAUUUUUAUAUUUAAAAGCUUUGUGUUUUUCUUUCUAGGGAACAGGAUUCUCUGGUUAAGACCUGAAAACACAGAGUGUGUUCCCAAGUUACAUGCAAGUUUUGCUGCAUACCUUCAUUAUGAUCAGCACUGGCACUUGAGUGAUGCGCUGCUGAGAAACCGAUUUGCUCUUCCAAGUGACAUACUGAAUGAUGAGCAGCAGCCCAAGUUUUGGAGCCUUCCUCUGCCAUAGGGAGGCUUCCUAAAGUGGACAGGUGCUUUGUAUCAGGC
This 308-nucleotide long non-coding RNA is filed under the name Coturnix japonica (Japanese quail). RNAcentral describes it as "lncRNA (ENSCJPG00005012396.1)". Lineage: Eukaryota; Metazoa; Chordata; Aves; Galliformes; Phasianidae. The record is from RNAcentral.